GAUGAACGCUGACAGAAUGCUUAACACAUGCAAGUCCACUUGAACUUCGGUUUGGGUGGCGGACGGGUGAGUAACGCGUAAAGAACUUGCCUCACAGCUAGGGACAACAUUUGGAAACGAAUGCUAAUACCUGAUAUUAUGAUUAUAUGGCAUCGUAUAAUUAUGACAGCUAUAUGCGCUGUGAGAGAGCUUUGCGUCCCAUUAGCUAGUUGGAGAGGUAACAGCUCACCAAGGCGAUGAUGGGUAGCCGGCCUGAGAGGGUGAUCGGCCACAAGGGGACUGGGACACGGCCCUUACUCCUACGGGAGGCAGCAGUGGGGAAUAUUGGACAAUGGACCGAGAGUCUGAUCCAGCAAUUCUGUGUGCACGAUGAAGUUUUUCGGAAUGUAAAGUGCUUUCAGUUGGGAAGAAAAAAAUGACGGUACCAACAGAAGAAGUGACGGCUAAAUACGUG
This 454-nucleotide ribosomal RNA is filed under the name uncultured bacterium. Its description in RNAcentral is "partial 16S ribosomal RNA". It matches the Rfam family "Bacterial small subunit ribosomal RNA", at positions 28 to 507 of the family's 1533-position model. The record is from RNAcentral.